Long non-coding RNA from Micropterus salmoides (largemouth bass), 382 nucleotides. RefSeq lists it as uncharacterized. Lineage: Eukaryota; Metazoa; Chordata; Actinopteri; Centrarchiformes; Centrarchidae. The transcript is spliced from 2 exons. The record is from RefSeq and is a predicted model, not a curated record.
GGGGACUUUUAAUGCAUGUCAGUCCACCUCUGUCACCUCUGAAGAAAAAUGCCUCAAAAAAUACUUUCAAAAGGGCCAUUUGUAAACAUCUUCAAGAGAAAUCCCAAGAGCAAACACAUCUGAAAGCCUUCAGCAGGCUGCACUUCACCUCUCAGCUGAAAGAAGUUCAGAGCAGAGGAGGUCUCUGUUUGAAGUCCAACAAGUGGCAGUAAAAGAAGUGCUGAGUGUAGUUUGGAACAGGAAGCUAUGACUUGAUUUAAAGGGACAUACCCAAAGUAAUACAAAGUGUCUUUUUGCUCUUUUUGUGUGGAUUUUUACUUACUUUACUUAAUGUAGCUGUUGUUUUGUUCUCUACAGUGAUUAUUAAACACAAACACCUGAA